Molecule: RNase P RNA, 304 nt
Filed under: Mucor ambiguus
Lineage: Eukaryota; Fungi; Mucoromycota; Mucoromycetes; Mucorales; Mucoraceae
Description: Nuclear RNase P
Rfam family: Nuclear RNase P
About the family: Ribonuclease P (RNase P) is a ubiquitous endoribonuclease, found in archaea, bacteria and eukarya as well as chloroplasts and mitochondria.
Source: Rfam by way of RNAcentral
AGAGGUGACAAGCUUAUGUAUACGGGCAAACAUACUAAAAGACUCUUGUUCUUUAAUCUUACCCGUGGGAAGGUCUGAGGAAAACCGCUAAAUGUCUUUGCUGGAUAACCUGUGAAAAUGGGGGCAGUGCUACCAGAAAAUAUAUCAUCUUGGACCGUUAGUACCGUUGAAGGAGCUUGCAAGAGUUUCUGAUGGGUUGGUUCGAGAAUGUUUACUGUAAUGGCCUGUGGGUGGUAAUGCUAUGAAGUGCAAUACAUGAGACCGGUUAUACUGGUAACUCAAUUCAGACUACUCUGUCUCCUCU